Molecule: ribosomal RNA, 405 nt
Filed under: uncultured Acidimicrobiaceae bacterium
Lineage: Bacteria; Bacillati; Actinomycetota; Acidimicrobiia; Acidimicrobiales; Acidimicrobiaceae
Description: bacterial SSU rRNA
Rfam family: Bacterial small subunit ribosomal RNA
Source: RNAcentral
GGGGAAUCUUGCGCAAUGGGCGAAAGCCUGACGCAGCAACGCCGCGUGCGGGAAGAAGGCUCUCGGGUUGUAAACCGCUUUCAGCAGGAACGAAAAUGACGGUACUUGCAGAAGAAGGUGCGGCCAACUACGUGCCAGCAGCCGCGGUGACACGUAGGCACCAAGCGUUGUCCGGAUUUAUUGGGCGUAAAGCGCUCGUAGGCGGUUCGGUAAGUCAGGUGUGAAAACUUUGGGCUUAACCCAAAGCCUGCAUCUGAUACUGCCGUGACUAGAGUUCGGUAGGGGAGUGGGGAAUUCCUAGUGUAGCGGUGAAAUGCGCAGAUAUUAGGAGGAACACCGGUGGCGAAGGCGCCACUCUGGGCCGAUACUGACGCUGAGGAGCGAAAGCGUGGGUAGCAAACAGGA